This 325-nucleotide long non-coding RNA is filed under the name Durio zibethinus. RNAcentral's name for it is "long non-coding RNA (DZIB_LNC002157)". Lineage: Eukaryota; Viridiplantae; Streptophyta; Magnoliopsida; Malvales; Malvaceae. The record is from RNAcentral.
AAAACAGAAAAAUAAAAAUUUUUAAAAUAACGAAAAAAUUAAAACAAGUAAAAAUGAAAGCAUAUGAAAAAAAAGUAAAAAGAAGGAAAAUUUUGAAGGGAAAAAGUUAUUAAAAAAUUACAAAGUAGGACAAAAAUAGCAAGAAAAAUAAUAAAAUAAAAAAGAUUCAAAAAAUAAAAAUAAAAAAUUUUGAACUUUAUAAAAAUUUUUAAAAUAUAAAUAAAAAUAAAUGGAAAAAUAAAUUAAGAUAAAAUAUUAAUAUGGAAGAAAAAAUUAAAUAAAAUACCAAAAAAGCAAAAAAUAAAAAAGUAAGAUAUUAAAAAAA